CUAGUGACUAUCCUGGGUAGCUGGGUGACAGUGAGUGAGGUUGGUCCAGAUGCAGAAAUUCUGUGAGCCAAUAAACCCAGAGGGAUUUCUAAAAACAUGAAGUAUCGCCAGAUAUCAGGGAGAUCAAUAGGUCAUCUUGAGCUGCCUUUGAAGAUUACUUGAUGAAGUAACAGUACUGAUCACGUGUUUCUAACAGGACCUAAAGAGACAUGGUAAUGGCAGUGAUCACCUACAGUAUGUUGAGGCUGAUUAGAAGACAUGGGGUGUUGCUGCUGCUCAAAUAUGUCCAGCAUG
Molecule: long non-coding RNA, 294 nt
Organism: Haliotis rubra (blacklip abalone)
Lineage: Eukaryota; Metazoa; Mollusca; Gastropoda; Lepetellida; Haliotidae
Exons: 3
Source: RefSeq, a predicted model, not a curated record